Molecule: long non-coding RNA, 1127 nt
Filed under: Homo sapiens (human)
Lineage: Eukaryota; Metazoa; Chordata; Mammalia; Primates; Hominidae
Description: MYO1D divergent transcript
Source: RNAcentral
UGUAUUUUCCCAAAGAAAAUAUACUACAAAUGACUUUCUUUCUUUUUUUUUUUUUUUUCUUUUUCUGGAGACAAAUUCUCCCUCUGUCACCCAGGCUGGAGUGCAGUGGUGCAAUCACAGCUCACUGCAACCUCAAACUCCUGGGCUCAAGCAAUCCUCCAGCCUCAGCCUCCUGAGCAGCUGGGACUACAGGUGUAUGACACCAUGCCCAGCUAUUUUUUUUAAAUAAAUGACUUUCUAAGGUAUCUACAUUUAUUCAGUCCUGUGUUUCUGUUAGGACAUCUUCUAUUACAAAAUCUACGAGGAAAUCUAGAGGCCUCCAAGGACCUGGCUGGGCUUCAACUCUGGCUGAGUUUGAGAUGAGUAAACCAGACUGAAGGACCUUGCCCAAGGCCUGCUUCAGCUGCCAGCCACCCACACUUGCUAAGAGAAAGGAAAGGAGCUUUGUCACCUCCUGAGGGACUGCCUCUGCCAUCAGAAAACCACCCCAAUCCCUGGCACCAGCAGAGCUGGGUUGCAUCUGACUACCGUUAGCAGCUGUCCUUCAGAAGGAGGAGAUCCACCUGUCUCGAUAUCAGUGUCCUCAUUUGUGGAAUAAAAGCUCUGGAAUAAGGGAGACAUGAGACAGCAAUCAGUAUGUAUAAGAUGUACAUUGGUUCCAUCUGGAAAGGGGACAACUCGAGGUGAAGGCGGGACAACUCAAAGCGCGGAGGGGGCUUCCAGAUCAUAGAUCCACCCUGAUUUCAGCGGGCGUUCCUGGGUCUUGUAUGCACUAGGUGCCCUCAAUGCUUGGCAACUGGAAUGGGUUAGCCUGGAGGCAUUUAGGCUGUCCUUCUACAACCACAGAAGAGCCAUCACUGGCAGAGAGAUCCUUGGCGCAGUUAAGCAGAGAUCUUCUCAGAAGAGCUUUUGAAUAAAUGAAGUUGUUCAGAAUGGCCUUGUUAAAAUGACUCACUUGUCAAAAAACUAGAUGUGUUGGAAGGCUGGGUUGGAAGACAAGAUGUCUGAGAAGCUGUCCUGCUGCAUGAGGAGUUUCAUUGCUACACACCUAGUCUCUGGGUCCUGUGUUUUUGGCCUCCAGCUUACUUCGUGAACAUAAUAAAGGAAAGGCAUUUUCUCUUGUGCAU